RNAcentral lists this ribosomal RNA (543 nucleotides) under uncultured bacterium. RNAcentral describes it as "bacterial SSU rRNA". It matches the Rfam family "Bacterial small subunit ribosomal RNA", at positions 772 to 1319 of the family's 1533-position model. The record is from RNAcentral.
ACUGAAUAGAUACCCCGGUAGUCCACGCCCUAAACGAUGUCUACUAGUUGUCGGGUUUUAAUUAACUUGGUAACGCAGCUAAACGCGUGAAAGUAGACCGCCUGGGGAGUACGGUCGCAAGAUUAAAACUCAGAGGAAUUGACGGGGACCCGCACAAGCGGUGGAUGAUGUGGAUUAAUUCGAUGCAACGCGAAAAACCUUACCUACCCUUGACAUGUACGGAAGCCACGAGAGAUCGAGGUGUGCUCGAAAGAGAACCGUAACACAGGUGCUGCAUGGCUGUCGUCAGCUCGUGUCGUGAGAUGUUGGGUUAAGUCCCGCAACGAGCGCAACCCUUGUCAUUAGUUGCUACGAAAGGGCACUCUAAUGAGACUGCCGGUGACAAACCGGAGGAAGGUGAGGAUGACGUCAAGUCCUCAUGGCCCUUAUGGGUAGGGCUUCACACGUCAUACAAUGGUACAUACAGAGGGCCGCCAACCCGCGAGGGGGAGCUAAUCCCAGAAAGUGUAUCGUAGUCCGGAUUGUAGUCUGCAACUCGACUAC